AGAGGAUGAGGAAAUGAUUGGCAGUGCUUUUCUCCAUAUCCUGAAGAGAGAAAGAAACACUGUAACUGCAGCAGAGACCAGAACUCAGUCACUUAUAGCCUAGUUGGGGUGGACCUCUUUGUUGGCUUACCUCUACAAUCUUGUUUUUCUGUGGUUCAUUGACCCUGCCAGCCAGGCAGCAGCGAGUGAUGGCAUUAUGGAUGAUGAACUUGUUGGACUUAAAGGCAGGGGAGGAAAUGGUGGAGCCAUUCUCCCAGUCUCUCUCUCCGUUCAUAGCCGUCGAUCGUCCUGGUGACAUUAGCCGGGAAGGAGAGUGUGAACGGCUAGAGGAAGACACAAAAGAUAAGUCGUUAUUAGACCUUGAGGCUGUGUGCCUACGCUCGUAUAAUAUUGAUUGAUAUACAAACCUACAAACAGUAAAGUCACUAACAAUAUUGAAAACUUUGUCUUUGAUAUUCUGGCAAUAUUUUAUAUUUUACUCCACUAAAUAAAAGUCUAGUCUCAUAUAAUGAAAACAAUUUAUAGUCAUGGAGCUCAUUUAAAAAAAAAAAAUUAUAGUAAAUUUGCUUAUAUCUAUGGGACUUCAAAUAAUAGUGACAAUGUUUUUGGCUCAUUACUUCCUCUCAUGCCUCUCAAUGUGCAGGUUACCUGGGAGACUUCCUAAUCGACAGGCCUCCAGAGUCAUGCGCCAUGGAUGACAGGUUCAUGGUGGAGUGGGAGUACACUUUGUUCAGCCUGGUGCCUAGAUGAGGGAAGACAGGAUGAAAACAGGGGAAAUUACACUAAGAAUCGAAAAGCAUGGCUGUGAGAGAGUACCGAGUCAUCUCUGAACACAGUCUUGGGUCUCUGCUUCUUGACACCGCGAACCGUGGUGGGUUUCUGCCUCAGCACCUUGUCCAAGUCUUCCAUGAUCUUCAG
Pleuronectes platessa (European plaice) is the source of this 918-nucleotide long non-coding RNA. RefSeq lists it as uncharacterized. The record is from RefSeq and is a predicted model, not a curated record. Lineage: Eukaryota; Metazoa; Chordata; Actinopteri; Pleuronectiformes; Pleuronectidae. The transcript is spliced from 3 exons.